GGGCCCAUAGCUCAGCGGCAGAGCAGGUGACUCAUAAUCACUUGGUCGGAGGUUCGAACCCUUCUGGGCCCA
This 72-nucleotide transfer RNA is filed under the name Candidatus Omnitrophota bacterium. RNAcentral's name for it is "Candidatus Omnitrophica bacterium tRNA-Ile". It matches the Rfam family "tRNA". Rfam says of the family: Transfer RNA (tRNA) molecules are approximately 80 nucleotides in length. Their secondary structure includes four short double-helical elements and three loops (D, anti-codon, and T loops). Further hydrogen bonds mediate the characteristic L-shaped molecular structure. tRNAs have two regions of fundamental functional importance: the anti-codon, which is responsible for specific mRNA codon recognition, and the 3' end, to which the tRNAs corresponding amino acid is attached (by aminoacyl-tRNA synthetases). tRNAs cope with the degeneracy of the genetic code in two manners: having more than one tRNA (with a specific anti-codon) for a particular amino acid; and 'wobble' base-pairing, i.e. permitting non-standard base-pairing at the 3rd anti-codon position. Lineage: Bacteria; Pseudomonadati; Candidatus Omnitrophota. The record is from RNAcentral.